Pseudopodoces humilis (Tibetan ground-tit) is the source of this 5590-nucleotide non-coding RNA. The record is from RefSeq and is a predicted model, not a curated record. NCBI's taxonomy places the organism in Eukaryota, Metazoa, Chordata, Aves, Passeriformes, Paridae.
GGGGCCGCUGCGGGCAGGGCGGACAAAAGGCGCCGGAGCGGCGUGAGGGAGGGUGGGCGCCGUAGGCAGGGAAACUGUUCCCAUGGCUUGUGGGGAGUGCAGCGCUUCAGCACUCGCUCGGGAUCUGGCACGUAGGAAUAUCAGCCACUUCCAGCACAGAGAACUGACGUGCAGAUAGCAGAACCCUGCUGCAAGGUGAAUCAUGAUUCCAGUCACCGAGCUGCGCUACUUCGCUGAUACUCAGCCAGCCUAUCGCAUCCUGAAGCCGUGGUGGGACGUCUUCACAGACUACAUUUCCAUAGUGAUGCUGAUGAUCGCCGUGUUCGGAGGGACGCUGCAGGUCACCCAGGACAAAAUGAUUUGUUUGCCCUGUAAAUGGGUUACCAAAGACUCUUGCAAUGACUCUGUCAGGGGAUGGACAACAGCAGCCCCCGAGCGUACCUACUACAACACUAGUCUUGUUCCCUCUGCUGAUUCGGGGCCUACAGGGAUCCGAUAUGAUCUGGACCGGCACCAGUACAACUAUGUGGAUGCGGUGUGUUACGAGAACCGUCUUCACUGGUUUGCCAAGUAUUUUCCUUAUCUAGUGCUGCUACAUACCCUCAUCUUUCUAGCUUGUAGCAACUUCUGGUUCAAGUUCCCAAGGACCAGCUCCAAGCUGGAGCAUUUUGUGUCUAUUUUGCUUAAGUGUUUUGACUCUCCAUGGACAACGAGAGCAUUGUCUGAGACAGUGGUGGAAGAGAGUGAUACCAAACCAGCAUUUGGAAAAAUGAAUGGCUCCAUGGACAAGAAAUCCUCCACGGUCAGUGAGGAUGUGGAAGCCACUGUUCCCAUGCUGCAGAGAACAAAGUCUCGAAUUGAGCAAGGGAUUGUGGACAGGUCUGAGACUGGUGUCUUGGACAAAAAGGAAGGUGAGCAAGCCAAAGCACUCUUUGAGAAAGUGAAAAAGUUCCGUACUCAUGUGGAAGAGGGAGACAUAGUUUAUCGCCUGUACAUGAGACAGACUAUAAUCAAAGUAAUCAAGUUCAUUCUGAUAAUUUGCUAUACUGUGUACUAUGUCAACAACAUAACAUUUGAUGUAGACUGUAAAGUGGACAUUGAGAGCUUGACUGGCUACAGGAUGUACCGCUGUGCUCAUCCUUUGGCCACUCUCUUCAAAAUCUUGGCUUCUUUCUACAUCAGUCUGGUGAUUUUCUAUGGUUUGAUCUGCAUGUACACACUGUGGUGGAUGUUGAGGCGGUCUCUCAAGAAAUACUCCUUUGAGUCCAUCCGGGAGGAGAGCAGUUACAGUGACAUCCCUGAUGUGAAAAAUGACUUUGCUUUUAUGCUCCAUCUGAUCGAUCAGUACGACCCCCUCUACUCCAAGCGCUUUGCUGUCUUUCUGUCAGAGGUGAGUGAGAACAAAUUGCGGCAGCUGAACCUCAACAAUGAGUGGACUUUGGAGAAACUACGCCAGAGGAUCACCAAAAACUCUCAGGAUAAGCUGGAAUUGCAUCUUUUCAUGUUGAGUGGCAUUCCUGACACAGUCUUUGACCUCAUUGAGUUGGAGGUCUUGAAGCUGGAGCUUAUCCCUGAUGUCACUAUUCCCCCCAGCAUUGCUCAGCUCACCAGCCUUAAGGAACUGUGGCUCUACCACACAGCUGCCAAAAUUGAGGCCCCAGCCCUUGCCUUCUUGAGGGAGAAUUUGAAAUCUCUCCACAUCAAGUUCACAGACAUUAAGGAGAUUCCUCUUUGGAUUUAUAGCCUGAAGACACUAGAGGAGCUUCACCUGACAGGGAAUUUGAGCGCUGAAAACAACCGGUACAUUGUGAUAGAUGGACUGAGAGAGCUGAAAAGGUUGAAGGUGUUGAGGAUGAAGAGUAACCUCACCAAGCUGCCGCAGGUGGUGACAGAUGUUGGUGUGCAUCUUCAGAAGCUUUCCAUCAACAAUGAGGGCACCAAGCUCAUUGUCCUCAACAGCCUUAAGAAGAUGGUCAACCUGACAGAGCUUGAGCUGAUCCGGUGUGACUUGGAACGCAUUCCUCACUCUAUCUUUAGCCUCCACAAUCUGCAGGAAAUAGACCUGAAGGACAACAACCUAAAGACCAUUGAGGAAAUCAUCAGCUUCCAGCACUUACAUCGUCUCACUUGCCUUAAAUUGUGGUACAACCACAUUGCCUACAUCCCCAUGCAGAUAGGCAACCUGACCAACUUAGAACGCCUUUACCUGAACCGUAACAAGAUAGAAAAGAUCCCUACCCAGCUCUUCUAUUGCCGAAAACUUCGGUACUUGGAUCUCAGCCACAACAACUUAACUUUCAUACCACCAGACGUUGGACUUCUUCAAAACCUGCAGAAUCUGGCUGUGACAGCCAACAGGAUUGAGAGUCUCCCACCAGAGCUAUUCCAGUGCAGGAAGCUGAGAACCUUGAACCUGGGAAACAACGUGCUACAGUCACUGCCCUCCCGGGUGGGAGAGCUGAUGAAUCUGUCACAGAUAGAGCUGCGAGGGAACCGCCUGGAGUGCUUGCCUGUGGAGCUGGGAGAGUGCCCACUGCUGAAACGCAGUGGGCUCGUGGUGGAGGAGGACCUGUUCAACACCCUGCCCUUGGAAGUCAAAGAGCGCCUGUGGAGGGCAGACAAAGAGCAAGCUUGAACACCUGAGAAGAGGGAAGAGCCUCUGAUCAACCAGAAGGAAGCAAAAGGCCAUUUCAGUCCCCUUUCACCCAGAUGCUCCCCUUUCUCCACUCCAAUCACUAUCAAAACUGGCCAAGGAGUCCUUGACAAACAUGACUCUGAAUGAGUCAGCUUCUUGCCUCAGAUGCUGGAUGGGGGAGGCUUGGGAUCAGGAUGAGGAUCAAGACAGAUUAAUUGGCCUCUGAGCAGGGCCCAGGGGGCAUUAGAGGUGUUGCUCUUCUUCUGGACAGGAAUUGGGGUGAGGUGGAUGGUGCUGGUGAGAAGUGACCUUUGAAUGGAGGAGAAAACGAAUGUGGGGAUUGCUGCAUUGCUCCUAAUAGAGCUUAUAUGUGUCAGGGACCAAAGGAGUCCAGUGUCCUGCAGGCAAAGAUCGAGAAUCAAGGAAACCUCUUGAACCUCCAUCUCUGUGACAGCUGGUACUGCUGCCCUCUGACUCAGUCAGUGAGGCCCCAGGUUGGGGUGGGACACAGACAGCUGAUUUUGUCUAGAUGCUGGCAUUAGGAUUUGGGAGAAAAACAUCUCGCAGCUGCUUGAAGGCGGAAUUUUCUUUUUUUUUUACUGAUUUUCUUUCCCCUUUGCACACUCCCCAUCUUCUCUGCCCCUGGAGAAGGAACCAAACUAUCUGCUCCUUUAAGAUUGCACUACUGUAAUGAUUUCAAGUCACUUGUGCGGAGUAUCAGUCUUGUAUGAUGAGAUGGAAAAAGCUCUAAAACUUCUGAGGAUAGGAUCUAGACCAUGAGUCCUGAACAUGUUUAUGACUGAGGACUGCUGCAAAACUCAACCCACAGCAGAGCGAGUCACUUCCCAAACUUUUCUGGAUUGCUCAUUCUGUGAGAGGUGUCCUUACAUCAACAAUCCAUCCUCACUUGCAAGUAUUUGAUCUGUGAAUAUUCUAUAUUGUCCUUCAAGUUUCCAUCAGGCUGAAGCUUAGGGAGCUUAUUUCUGACACAGAUCUGUGCAUUCACAAAAAGCAUUCAGUUUAAGCAGACAAUCACUGCCCUGGUCAGUGUCUUGUUCUCCUGACAAGCUUUUUAAAACAGUAGCAAACCAGAUUAUUUAUUAGCUGCUAAACCAUACAGCAACUUGAAUUAAACCCACCUGUUUCCUUUAAUAGCACUUCUGAGCAGAACAAGUUCUUGGAGAACACAAGGAUGCUCAUCCCAUGUUAGGAUUGAAGGUUAGUGAUAUGCACUUUACCUUUCCUGCUAAAGACCCCAAAAAGUGAUAAGUUGCAAUUAGUUAUUUUGAAUCAGCUGAAAGGCAAGGAAUACCAAACCUAUUAAAUGUGUAAAAUUGUGCUGUACUCUGACACUAUUCACUGGAAUGUUAGCUUAAGUUGUUCUGUUUCAGAUCACUUUCUGAUUUUAUUAUUUGAUCCACAGUUAAUUCAGCAGCUGGAAGUAAUUUACUCUGUCAGUCUGAGUGGUUAAAUAGCUGUUACAGGUAUCUUUCAUGAUGUGCUGUUCUUUCAUAUUAAUUGUCACUUCUUUUUAAUAUCCUACCUCAUUUUUUAUUUUUUCUUAUUCCUGUUUAUGCACUCCAUUUAGCUCACUCCAUUUUAAUUAAAGUUCUUGGUGUUCAUUACUGUAAAUAGUAUUGAGUGGCUUUCUGUUGCUGAAACACAUGAAGUCCUCUUUUUUUUUUCCUUUUUUUUUGUCCUCUCUUUAACAAUUGAUUCUAGGAAUUUUGAGAACAAUAACACAUCCUUUACAGAGGAUGAGUUGUCUGGAAAAAAGUUGCAAAUUGUAUUGAUGCCUAGGCUGUGACAUUGUUUCCUUUCCUUACCUCUUUUCCUGCUUUAGAAUGGAACUCGCAUGGUUUGAGUUCUUUGGAUUUUUAAACUUUUUUUUAGUCCUCUUUCAAGGGAGGAGUAACUUUUUUUCCCCUCAUCAAUAGCUGUGCCUUCUCUAGAGAUCUGUUAAUGUAAUAUCUCCCCAGAGGCACUUGCUCCCUGGAGUGUAUUUGUAGCAGUGCCUGCCUGAAGCCAACUCAUCCCUUGGAUUCUUUUUCUUUCAACCAUGGAGAGAUUUCCUAACUUCUGGGGUGACUUCUCACUGCCAGACAACAUUGUCAUACUGUAAGCAGAGUCACCUGCUCUGAAAGUCACCUAAGGUAAGGCUGUGGGGAUGCUGAGCAGUAAAAUUAUUGCUUAAACUUAACUUUAAAAAUUUUUCUUCCAUUUUAGCCCCACUGUUUGGUUACAGUGGAUAAUGUACUUUUCCCAAGCAAGUGCCAAAACAGUGAGUUUUCUGUCCUACCUCAUUCUAAUAGUGUACAAAGCACAACUGUAAUGGGGCAGGAUUAUUAAAGUUUUAUUAGGAUUAUUAAAGUUUGAUUCAGACCCUUCUCCCUUCAGCUGUGGCAGUUGGUUAAUAUUCAGCUGCUUUGGGAGAAUGAAAUCCUCCAGGAAUCUCAUAUCCAAAAUCUGGUUUCAGAAGUAGCAGCACUUGAAUUGCUAGACCCCAGUGGUAAAGGUCAACUUUGUGUGAGUUCACACAAAGGCUUAAUUUAGGAUUCCUGGAAUUUUCCAUUCCUUCCUCUCUCUGUUUCCCUUAAAAGAAUUUUAUUGGACAAUGGAAGAGUUUUUCUGGAGGAGGUUUAAUGAGAAGGGGGCUACUGAGCCUGAGUCAUCUUUACAGCUGACAAAUGUGUCCAUUUCAAUAAGUCACUACUCAUGGCUUAAACAUGGUUCACUCCCAUUGUGUAAAUGCACAAGCAGGACUGUGGUUUGGCAUCUGGGACCUGCAACUUGGUGUAACAUUUCAGAAUCAUGACAUUCACUUUGUACAUGGGAUUGUUUGGGCAGCUGAGCAACAGCACCUUCCCUGUGAGCACUGAAGGCUGCUCUUGUUUGCUCUGAAAGAUUUGUACGACUGGACACUUCACCAGAAUAAAAGUUUUCAUUUGCAUUUUC